GAUAUGUUGGUUCAAGCCUGUAGUCGUGCCUGGUAGGUAAAUCCGCCGGGCUUAGAUGAGGGGUGAUAACGAGUCUGCUUGCAGACGAAGUGAGUGAUACCCUGCUUCCAGGAAAAGCCACUAAGCUUCAGCUACACACGACCGUACCGCAAACCGACACUGGUGCGCGAGAUGAGUAUUCUAAGGCGCUUGAGAGAACUCAGGAGAAGGAACUCGGCAAAUUGACACCGUAACUUCGGAAGAAGGUGUGCCUUUAGUAGGUGAAGUCCCUGCGGAUGGAGCCCAAUGAGGUUGCAAAAAAUCGGUGGCUGCGACUGUUUAAUAAAAACACAGCACUCUGCGAACACGAAAGUGGACGUAUAGGGUGUGACGCCUGCCCGUCGCUGGAAGAUUAAAUGAUGGGGUGCAAGCUCUUGAUUGAAGUCCCAGUAAACGGCGGCCGUAACAAUAACGGUCCUAAGGUAGCGAAAUUCCUUGUCGGGUAAGUUCCGACCUGCACGAAUGGCGUAACGAUGGCCACACUGUCUCCUCCUGAGACUCAGCGAAGUUGAAAUGUUUGUGAUGAUGCAAUCUCCCCGCGGAAAGACGGAAAGACCCCAUGAACCUUUACUGUAGCUUUGUAUUGGACUUUGAACAGAUCUGUGUAGGAUAGGUGGGAGGCUUUGAAGCAGGGUCGCUAGAUCUUGUGGAGCCAACGUUGAAAUACCACCCUGGUGUGUUUGGGGUUCUAACCUAGGUCCAUUAUCUGGAUCGGGGACAGUGCAUGGUAGGCAGUUUGACUGGGGCGGUCUCCUCCCAAAGUGUAACGGAGGAGUUCGAAGGUACGCUAGGUACGGUCGGACAUCGUGCUAAUAGUGCAAUGGCAUAAGCGUGCUUAACUGCGAGACUGACAAGUCGAGCAGAUGCGAAAGCAGGACAUAGUGAUCCGGUGGUUCUGUAUGGAAGGGCCAUCGCUCAACGGAUAAAAGGUACUCUGGGGAUAACAGGCUGAUACCGCCCAAGGGUUCAUAUCGACGGCGGUGUUUGGCACCUCGAUGUCGGCUCAUCUCAUCCUGGGGCUGUAGCCGGUCCCAAGGGUAUGGCUGUUCGCCAUUUAAAGAGGUACGUGAGCUGGGUUUAAGACGUCGUGAGACAGUUUGGUCCCUAUCUUCCGUGGGCGCUGCAGAUUUGAGGAAGCCUGCUCCUAGUACGAGAGGACCGGAGUGGACGCACCUCUGGUGUAUCGGUUGUCACGCCAGUGGCAUUGCCGAGUAGCUAAGUGUGGAAGAGAUAACCGCUGAAAGCAUCUAAGCGGGAAACUCGUUUCAAGAUGAGACCUGCCGGGGCCUUGAGCCCCCUAAAGAGUCGUUCAAGACCAGGACGUUGAUAGGUCAGGUGUGGAAGCGCAGUAAUGCGUUAAGCUAACUGAUACUAAUUGCUCGUGUGGCUUGACC
Molecule: ribosomal RNA, 1433 nt
Filed under: metagenome
Description: bacterial LSU rRNA
Rfam family: Bacterial large subunit ribosomal RNA
Source: RNAcentral